GGCAGCGUCACCUGGAUCUCCUCGAGCCAGGGCCCUCCGCGCGCCAGCACCUUCCCCAUCGCACGCGAUCUGUCCGCUCCGACGCACGGUGAGCGCGCUGCCGCCGCCUUGUCACCGACGUCCUGAUCCAUCGGCGGCAACGGCGGCUCCUUCUGGCCGGAUCAAGGCGCGGAGACCCGUGGGAUCCCCUCCUUCGGCAGGACCUCCUCAUCUGAUUGCAUUCUUGCACGGACAGAGAGUGGAACACCACCUUCAGUUUCUCAUCUGAUCCCACUUGUGGACUCCAUGAAUGAAGUAAGAUAACAAUCCAUUGGUCAAUUACAUUGCCUCUUUAGAUGGUUUUUAGUGGGCGUCAGACUUGGUUUAGAUGGCUUUUGUUGUGAAAGAAAACUUAUCUUUCUAAAGACUGUACUCUGAAUCUUACAUCUCAUACUUGAAUUUUUUUUUGCAUAAUUUUUUUAGGCCUGAUGUGUAUCCAACGGCAUGGGAGAUUAAAGAUUUUCAUGAGACUGACGAUUGUGAUUUUGGCCCUGUACUGAAUAAUUUUGUGAGCGACUGGGUGAUGAUGAUUACAAGCCAGGUAACCGAAAGAGUCCUUCGGCCGCUGGCUAGCUAGCUGUUCUUAUCUUACUAUUAUAUGUCUUCCUCAGUAUUGAUUUGUGAGUUAUUUCUUUUUUCGAACUAUGCAGGAGGACUGCAUGUGAUGAGUUAAGGCACAAGAACUACGACCAUUUUAGCUCCAGCAGUAAGUACACAACUAAUCAACAAUGCAUUUUCACGACCCAGACUUCUGCAUUCUGACUGACAGGCUCGCUGGCACAGCCACAUAAUCUCAUGCAUUCAAAUUGCUAGCUACACGAAAUACGCCCAGAUCUACGAGUAGGAAUCCAAGGUAACACUUAUUGCUUACAAGUAUUUACUUCAUUUUUCUUCUUGUAAAAAGAGAAUGCAAGCUGAAAUAUAAAGUCUGCAGAUUCCUCAUGUAUGUUCAAUUUCCAGAAUAGGAAGAACCAUACCAACAACAUACAUACAUAUUACAGUUCUGCAUUUUAAAUUUGAAGGCCAACGCAAAGCCCGAUCGAUGUAAUUGGAGGUGAAUGUUUGUUUUCUUGCUUGUAUUUAAUCUUAGAAAACAGAAUCUCAUCAAGUGAAAAUCCGCAGGCAUUGCAGUCCAAUUGUUCUAGGGAUUGGAACCAGACGUGUGACUGAAUACUGCUUGGAAGAUGUGAUUCUGCAAAGUUGAGGAAGUUGAGGAAGUAUGGACUCAGAUCCUUUAAGGGUUUGUUUCCAUACUGUGGGGCAGCAGGAUCUGAGUCCCACUAUGAGGGAUCAACCUUCAUAGAUCAGCUACCGGCGUCAUACUGCCCCCACAAGCCUUUUAAGGUAUGUUCUUCUUCAGGGAUUGCAGAGAGCAUGGACCACCGUAUGGAAGAAGGAGAUGCCAUCCUUGACUGUCGUUGUCUUUGGUGUGUUGCUGCCAUUUUUCUAAUUCUUGCACUACAGAGACCUUAGUCUAUCCAUGUAGGUCAUGCCUUCUGAUCAGUCUUUUGACUCUUAUGUACGUGUGUGCUCUUGCAUUA
Aegilops tauschii subsp. strangulata is the source of this 1580-nucleotide non-coding RNA. NCBI's taxonomy places the organism in Eukaryota, Viridiplantae, Streptophyta, Magnoliopsida, Poales, Poaceae. The record is from RefSeq and is a predicted model, not a curated record.